RNAcentral lists this ribosomal RNA (293 nucleotides) under uncultured bacterium. RNAcentral describes it as "partial 16S ribosomal RNA". It matches the Rfam family "Bacterial small subunit ribosomal RNA", at positions 355 to 666 of the family's 1533-position model. The record is from RNAcentral.
UGGGGAAUAUUGCACAAUGGGCGAAAGCCUGAUGCAGCAACGCCGCGUGAGUGAUGAAGGUCUUCGGAUUGUAAAGCUCUGUCUUUUGGGACGAUAAUGACGGUACCAAAGGAGGAAGCCACGGCUAACUACGUGCAGCAGCCGCGGUAAUACGUAGGUGGCGAGCGUUGUCCGGAUUUACUGGGCGUAAAGGGUGCGUAGGCGGAUGUUUAAGUGAGAUGUGAAAUACCCGGGCUUAACUUGGGUGCUGCAUUUCAAACUGGAUAUCUAGAGUGCAGGAGAGGAGAAUGGAA